This 252-nucleotide ribosomal RNA is filed under the name 'Musa acuminata' elephantiasis disease phytoplasma. RNAcentral's name for it is "partial 16S ribosomal RNA". It matches the Rfam family "Bacterial small subunit ribosomal RNA", at positions 524 to 776 of the family's 1533-position model. Lineage: Bacteria; Bacillati; Mycoplasmatota; Mollicutes; Acholeplasmatales; Acholeplasmataceae. The record is from RNAcentral.
UACAUAAGGGGCGAGCGUUAUCCGGAAUUAUUGGGCGUAAAGGGUGCGUAGGCGGUUUAAUAAGUCUAUAGUUUAAUUUCAGUGCUUAACGCUGUUGUGCUAUAGAAACUGUUUUACUAGAGUGAGUUAGAGGCAAGCGGAAUUCCAUGUGUAGCGGUAAAAUGCGUAAAUAUAUGGAGGAACACCAGAGGCGUAGGCGGCUUGCUGGGACUUUACUGACGCUGAGGCACGAAAGCGUGGGGAGCAAACAGG